RNAcentral lists this ribosomal RNA (253 nucleotides) under uncultured bacterium. RNAcentral's name for it is "partial 16S ribosomal RNA". It matches the Rfam family "Bacterial small subunit ribosomal RNA", at positions 524 to 776 of the family's 1533-position model. The record is from RNAcentral.
UACGUAGGUGACAAGCGUUGUCCGGAUUUACUGGGCGUAAAGAGCGCGCAGGCGGUCGAUCAAGUCGAGUGUGAAAGCCCCCGGCUCAACUGGGGAGGGUCAUUCGAUACUGAUCGACUCGAAGGCAGGAGAGGGUAGUGGAAUUCCCGGUGUAGUGGUGAAAUGCUUAGAUAUUCGGAAGAACACCAGUGGCGAAGGCGGCUCACUGGACUGGUAUUGACGCUGAGGUGCGAAAGCGUGGGGAGCAAACAGG